GGAACUGUGCCUGAAUGCCCAAGGACCACUUUGAUAGAGUGAACCAUGGAGGUUAAAAUCCCCCCAGUUCUU
RNAcentral lists this transfer RNA (72 nucleotides) under Liobagrus somjinensis. RNAcentral's name for it is "tRNA-Ile". It matches the Rfam family "tRNA". From Rfam's summary of the family: Transfer RNA (tRNA) molecules are approximately 80 nucleotides in length. Their secondary structure includes four short double-helical elements and three loops (D, anti-codon, and T loops). Further hydrogen bonds mediate the characteristic L-shaped molecular structure. tRNAs have two regions of fundamental functional importance: the anti-codon, which is responsible for specific mRNA codon recognition, and the 3' end, to which the tRNAs corresponding amino acid is attached (by aminoacyl-tRNA synthetases). tRNAs cope with the degeneracy of the genetic code in two manners: having more than one tRNA (with a specific anti-codon) for a particular amino acid; and 'wobble' base-pairing, i.e. permitting non-standard base-pairing at the 3rd anti-codon position. The record is from RNAcentral. Lineage: Eukaryota; Metazoa; Chordata; Actinopteri; Siluriformes; Amblycipitidae.